ACGUAGGGUGCGAGCGUUGUCCGGAAUUACUGGGCGUAAAGAGCUCGUAGGCGGUUUGUCACGUCGUCUGUGAAAUCCUAGGGCUUAACCCUGGACGUGCAGGCGAUACGGGCUGACUUGAGUACUACAGGGGAGACUGGAAUUUCUGGUGUGGCGGUGGAUGGGGUAUAAAUCAGGUGGAGCACCGGUGGCAAAGGCAGCUCUCUGGUUUGUCUCUGACGCUGAGGCGCGAAAGCGUCGCUAGCAAACAG
This 251-nucleotide ribosomal RNA is filed under the name uncultured prokaryote. RNAcentral's name for it is "partial 16S rRNA". It matches the Rfam family "Bacterial small subunit ribosomal RNA", at positions 525 to 775 of the family's 1533-position model. The record is from RNAcentral.